AAGGCUUUUCGGGUCGUAAAACUCUGUUGUUAGGGAAGAACAAGUGCUAGUUGAAUAAGCUGGCACCUUGACGGUACCUACCCAGAAAGCCACGGCUAACUACGUGCCAGCAGCCGCGGUAAUACGUAGGUGGCAAGCGUUAUCCGGAAUUAUUGGGCGUAAAGCGCGCGCAGGUGGUUUUCUUAAGUCUGAUGUGAAAGCCCACGGCUCAACCGUGGAGGGUCAUUGGAAACUGGGAGACUUGAGUGCAGAAGAGGAAAGUGGAAUUCCAUGUGUAGCGGUGAAAUGCGUAGAGAUAUGGAGGAACACCAGUGGCGAAGGCGACUUUCUGGUCUGUAACUGACACUGAGGCGCGAAAGCGUGGAGAGCAAACAGGAUUAGAUACCCUGGUAGUCCACGCCGUAAACGAUGAGUGCUAAGUGUUAGAGGGUUUCCGCCCUUUAGUGCUGAAGUUAACGCAUUAAGCACUCCGCCUGGGGAGUACGGCCGCAAGGCUGAAACUCAAAGGAAUUGACGGGGGCCCGCACAAGCGGUGGAGCAUGUGGUUUAAUUCGAAGCAACGCGAAGAACCUUACCAGGUCUUGACAUCCUCUGAAAACCCUAGAGAUAGGGCUUCUCCUUCGGGAGCAGAGUGACAGGUGGUGCAUGGUUGUCGUCAGCUCGUGUCGUGAGAUGUUGGGUUAAGUCCCGCAACGAGCGCAACCCUUGAUCUUAGUUGCCAUCAUUAAGUUGGGCACUCUAAGGUGACUGCCGGUGACAAACCGGAGGAAGGUGGGGAUGACGUCAAAUCAUCAUGCCCCUUAUGACCUGGGCUACACACGUGCUACAAUGGACGGUACAAAGAGCUGCAAGACCGCGAGGUGGAGCUAAUCUCAUAAAACCGUUCUCAGUUCGGAUUGUAGGCUGCAACUCGCCUACAUGAAGCUGGAAUCGCUAGUAAUCGCGGAUCAGCAUGCCGCGGUGAAUACGU
This 970-nucleotide ribosomal RNA is filed under the name Bacillus albus. RNAcentral describes it as "bacterial SSU rRNA". It matches the Rfam family "Bacterial small subunit ribosomal RNA", at positions 411 to 1371 of the family's 1533-position model. The record is from RNAcentral. Lineage: Bacteria; Bacillati; Bacillota; Bacilli; Caryophanales; Bacillaceae.